CUGGGCGUAAAGCGAGCGCAGACGGUUACUUAAGCAGGAUGUGAAAUCCCCGGGCUUAACCUGGGAACUGCGUUCUGAACUGGGUGACUAGAGUGUGUCAGAGGGAGGUAGAAUUCCACGUGUAGCAGUGAAAUGCGUAGAGAUGUGGAGGAAUACCGAUGGCGAAGGCAGCCUCCUGGGAUAACACUGACGUUCAUGCUCGAAAGCGUGGGUAGCAAACAGGAUUAGAUACCCUGGUAGUCCACGCCGUAAACGAUGAGUGCUAGGUGUUAGACCCUUUCCGGGGUUUAGUGCCGUAGCUAACGCAUUAAGCACUCCGCCUGGGGAGUACGACCGCAAGGUUGAAACUCAAAGGAAUUGACGGGGGCCCGCACAAGCGGUGGAGCAUGUGGUUUAAUUCGAAGCAACGCGAAGAACCUUACCAGGUCUUGACAUCCCUCUGACCGCUCUAGAGAUAGAGCUUUCCUUCGGGACAGAGGUGACAGGUGGUGCAUGGUUGUCGUCAGCUCGUGUCGUGAG
RNAcentral lists this ribosomal RNA (519 nucleotides) under uncultured bacterium. RNAcentral's name for it is "bacterial SSU rRNA". It matches the Rfam family "Bacterial small subunit ribosomal RNA", at positions 554 to 1071 of the family's 1533-position model. The record is from RNAcentral.